Molecule: small nucleolar RNA, 180 nt
Organism: Pongo abelii (Sumatran orangutan)
Lineage: Eukaryota; Metazoa; Chordata; Mammalia; Primates; Hominidae
Gene: SNORA72
Rfam family: Small nucleolar RNA SNORA72
About the family: U72 is a member of the H/ACA class of snoRNAs. The snoRNA gene is located in intron 4 of the ribosomal L30 protein gene in human, mouse and chicken.
Source: Ensembl
CUGCCAAUAUUCUCAUUGCUCUGAUUUUGUAAUAGUCAGGACAGCCUAAACAUUUGCUAUAUUUUUUUAAUUUUUAAUUUUAAUUUUUGUGGGUAUAACAUUCACUAUAUUAAGAUCAUACAUAUGCCCCCAAACCUAAUUCUUUUCUUAAGUAUAGUUUUAUAAAUGCUAACGAUGAAC